UGGUACUAACACGUGACCAACUCUAGAGUCCAAGUUUGUAUUUCUCCUAGGGUUCGAUAGGCUCACGCUUAACUCGCUGCUUACCUGUGCUCCAGGUCCAUCCACUGCUGCAGCUCCUGUGUCACCCAGUUCCUCAUUUGUCAAUUAAUGUAGAGUUUAGGGUAAACUCAGACUGAUAUCAGGAAGUUAAUUUCUAAAACAUGCGCGGUUAGAGCCUGGAUCUGCAAGUCACUUUGAAAAUAUUACAUAAUGAUUUCACUUUUAUUUUUGUCAAAAUGGGAUAGUUUGUCAAUGGACUGAGUGUACCUGUUGUUUGACUGGUGGUUGUUGCUAAUGUGACCGGUUUUGGAGUCCGAGGGGUCGAGGUUAGAUCAAGAAUCCACAUGUCUAAAGAUGCCCUACUGGCUUUAACAACAACGACAAUUCUGCAUGACCAAGCAAUGUGAAAAACCUGAUUACCUACAACAAAGUACUUAUAUAAAAACAGGAAAAAAAAAUUAAGACAGGAUAUCAUCUGAGAAAUAGAUAUGAGAAACUUGUUGUGGUCCCCCCCCCCUGCUAUUGAGAUUUUCAGGAGUCAUCUUAGAACCCACUUUUACUCCUUACCUUUUAACCGUGCCUAACUUAACGAGCUCAGAUACUUUCCCUGAAGUCUCUUUAGGUCUGUUUUGUCAAGUGUGUUUUGUGUGACCAUGUGCUUAUCCCAUUAAUGUAUUUAUCAUCACUCUGAUCUUCUCUUCUGUUGUGUUUCUUUCCUUCUUUUAUUUUUGUUUUCCUUUUGGUGUUCUGUAAAGCACUUUGGGUCAACUGUGUUGUGUGUAAAGGGCUAUCUAAAUAGAAUUUAGACGAGAAA
Xiphias gladius (swordfish) is the source of this 853-nucleotide long non-coding RNA. RefSeq lists it as uncharacterized. Lineage: Eukaryota; Metazoa; Chordata; Actinopteri; Istiophoriformes; Xiphiidae. The transcript has 2 exons. The record is from RefSeq and is a predicted model, not a curated record.